This 809-nucleotide ribosomal RNA is filed under the name uncultured archaeon. RNAcentral's name for it is "bacterial SSU rRNA". It matches the Rfam family "Archaeal small subunit ribosomal RNA", at positions 85 to 879 of the family's 1478-position model. The record is from RNAcentral.
ACUGCUCAGUAACACGUGGCUAAUCUGCCCUUAGGACGAGAACAACCCCGGGAAACUGGGGCUAAUUCUUGAUCGGCGAAGAACUCUGGAAUGAGUCUUUACCAAAAUAGAUUCACGUUAUCCUCGUGAAUCCGCCUAAGGAUGAGGCCGCGACCGAUCAGGUUGUUGGCGAGGUAAUGGCUCACCAAGCCUUUUACCGGUGCGGGCCGUGGGAGCGGGAGCCCGGAGAUGGGUACUGAGACAAGGACCCAGGCCCUACGGGGCGCAGCAGUCGCGAAACCUUUGCAAUACACGAAAGUGUGACAGGGCUAUCCCGAGUGCCAUCCGCUGAGGAAGGCUUUUACCCAGUCUAGAACGCUGGGGGAAUAAGGAGAGGGCAAGUCUGGUGUCAGCCGCCGCGGUAAUACCAGCUCUCCGAGUGGUGUGGAUGUUUAUUGGGCCUAAAGCAUCCGUAGCUGGCUAGGUAAGUCCCUUGUUAAAUCCACCGAAUUAAUCGUUGGAUUGCGGGGGAUACUGCUUGGCUAGGGGACGAGAGAGGCAGACGGUAUUCUCGGGGUAGGGGUGAAAUCCUAUAAUCCCGGGAAGACCACCAGUGGCGAAGGCUGUCUGCUAGAACGCGCCCGACGGUGAGGGAUGAAAGCUGGGGGAGCGAACCGGAUUAGAUACCCGGGCAGUCCCAGCUGUAAACGAUGCAGGCUAGGUGUUUGGACGGCCACGUGCCGUUCUAGUGCCGCAGGGAAGCUGUUAAGCCUGCCGCCUGGGGAGUACGAUCGCAAGAUUGAAACUUAAAGGAAUUGGCGGGGGAGCAC